CACUUUGCACAGUGGCAGUAUCAUAGCCAAUGCAGUUUCUCUGAGGCCUGAUUAUUGCGAAUUGAAAAGUUUUCUCAAAUUUCCC
RNAcentral lists this small nuclear RNA (85 nucleotides) under Chinchilla lanigera (long-tailed chinchilla). RNAcentral describes it as "U4 spliceosomal RNA (ENSCLAG00000020818.1)". It matches the Rfam family "U4 spliceosomal RNA", at positions 1 to 85 of the family's 138-position model. Rfam says of the family: U4 small nuclear RNA (U4 snRNA) is a component of the major U2-dependent spliceosome. The structure of U4 snRNA from yeast and human has been reported. U4 snRNA presents a k-turn RNA motif in the 5p-SL related to recognition of Snu13 protein. The record is from Rfam by way of RNAcentral. Lineage: Eukaryota; Metazoa; Chordata; Mammalia; Rodentia; Chinchillidae.